Molecule: long non-coding RNA, 3197 nt
Organism: Anolis carolinensis (green anole)
Lineage: Eukaryota; Metazoa; Chordata; Lepidosauria; Squamata; Anolidae
Exons: 9
Source: RefSeq, a predicted model, not a curated record
GGGACACACCUGAUGCUGAGUGACCCCAGAGUGGAUUGGAGGCAACAGAAGCAACAACAGCAAUUUAAUGAGCUGCCCAACAUGGCAGAACGAGAGCGACGGCUGCAUUCGCUGGAACAACGGAAUCAAAAUCUGAUGGAGAAGGUCAGAUCGCUUCAGAAGGCGAAUACAAAUUUGCGUCAAAUGAAUUCAAGGCUGAAGGAAGAAAACGAAGUCUUCAAGUCAACAGAAGAAAUCUUACUUAGGGACAACGACAAAAUCAAGAAGAAAGUCCAUCAACUGAAGGAGCUUCAAGAAUCUCUGCAAGAUGAUAUUUACGUUCUGGAAGAACAGCUGUGUGCCUGUACCUGCCAAGGAGAGGGCAAAAGAAGAGAGACUAUAGAGCAGACCCCUCUGGAGAGUGAACCAAAGCCAUGAAAUGAGAGAUCCAUAUCACUCCUUUGGAAGAAGACAGUGCCUUUAGGACCUCUAGAUCGCCGAGCUUCAACGUCUGGAAUAAAUGCCCCUUUUUGCCUUCUCUAGGAUCCUUUUGCUAUCCAUCUUUUGAAAGAUCUGGACUCCUUUCGCAUUACUUAGUUACAUGUUCAGGUCCUGAACCAGGGCUUGGCGGCUGUGUACUUCCUCAUUCCAAACGGGAGCUGGACGAGUUUUUUAUGGUGUCGUAAAUUAGUUAAAUUUGCCUCCCUGCAGAGCGGUACCUAAAUUCCUACUUGAUAGAUGCAACUACCCUGUUUCCCUGAAAAUAAGACAUCUCCAGAAAAUAAGACCUAGUAGAGAUUUUGCUGAAUUGCUAAAUAUAAGGCCUCCCCCGAGAGUAAGACCUAGCAAAGUUUGUGUUUGGAAGCAUGCCCACCAAACAGAACACCAGGGCAUGCAGGAUUUUGUAAAUGUACGUACUAUAGAUUGUUGUACAUGGAAAUAAUAGUAGUAACAAGAAGUUCUUGAUAAGAUUCACAGUUUGUUUGGUUAUGCUGGUUUGUGAUGACAACUACUGUACAGUAUAUAAUGUUCAUUUUUUCUUCAACAAGAAAUGUGAAUUCUUCUUCUUGGAAACAUAAGACAUCCCCUGAAAAUAAGACCUAGCGCAUCUUUGGGAGCAAAAAUUAAUAUAAGACACUGUCUUAUUUUCAGGGAAACACGGUAUCUUUCAGUUGCUUAGGUCAACAACAAGCAGGGGCUAUUUUUUAUUUUAAUUGUUGGGUGGUUAAGUGACUACAUGGCUGGCCUCGAACUCACGGCCUCUUAGUCAGAGUGAUUUUAUGCAACUGGCUACCAGUCUGCUCCACUGGCUGCCAGUCUGCUACCGAGCACUAUUCAAAGUGCUGGCUUUGGUCUAUAAAGUUCUAAAUGACUCUGGUCCAACUUACCUGUUUAAACAUAUCUCUCCCUAAGAACCUGUUAGAGAGUUAAGAUCUGCAGGGGAGGUCCUGCUCUCAGUCCCACCCCCAUCACAAGCACGACUGGUGGGGACGAGAAACAGGGCCUUCUCUGUGGUGGCCCCUUGGCUAUGGAACUCCCUUCCUAGUGAUUUCAGACCGGCCCCUUCCCUCCUGGUGUUUAGAAAGAAAGUGAAGACCUGGCUUUGCAAUCAGGCAUUUGGCUAGUGCAAUACAGAAUCAGUUCAAUGUAGGACGCAAAUGACGACCUUAGGACUGGGUACUAUGUUUUAAUUAUGUUUUAAUAGAUUUAUCUAUAUAUAUAAAAGGGUCAUGAAAUUUCGGCCUAGGACAAAACAACAAAACUACACAUCCCAGAAACACUAAACUUGGCAGCACAAUCCCUCAUCCAUGCCUUUACGUUCAUACAACAAAAAGAAAAAUAAAGUCCUAAUUAGAGGGAGAGGAAUAAUUGUUUUUAUCCAAUUGCUGCCUGUUAGAAGGCUAAGCUCCACCCACUUGGUCUCCUAGCAACCCACUCAGCCCAGGGGACAGGCAGAGUUAGGCCUCACUUAGGCCUCUUCCACACUGCCUAUAAAAUACAGAUUUUCUGAUUUUAACUGGAUUAUAUCGCAGUGUAGACUCAAGGCCCUUCCACACAGCUAUAUAACCCAUUUAUAAUGGACUUAAUAUCAGGGGAAAACCUUUACCCUUUACCUUAACUACUACCAAUUCCUCAAUACUUUAUUUCCCAUACCACCAUACUUCGCCACAGCAAUGCAUGGCCGGGCACAGCUAGUGAUAUUCAUAUUUAUAUUGUUUAUUGUACUGAUGUAUUGCUUUUAUGUUGUGGAAUAUGCGGCAUAGAAUAUUGCCAUUAUGAGUCCCCUGCAAUAGAGUAAAUAAAGUACAUCUAUGGAAUCCUGGAGUUUCAAACACGUUUCCUGGCUGAGAAACUGAGAUACAGUAGAGUCUCACUUAUCCAACACUCACUUAUCCAACAUUCUGGAUUAUCCAAUGCAUUUUUGUAGUCAAUGUUUUCAAUACAUCGUGAUAUUUUGGUGCUAAAUUAGUAAAUACAGUAAUUACUACAGAGCAUUAAUGCAGUGAUGGCCAACCUAUGACACGCGUGUCAGCACUGACACGCCUAGCCAUUUUUGGUGACACGCUGCCGCAUGCAGAUUGAUUGGAUGACUAUGUCUUUUGUGGCCAAAUUCGGUGUGAUUUGGUCCAGUGGUUUUGUUGUUUACUCCAUGGGAAUUAUGCACAUUACAUUUAUAUAUAAUCACUAGCUGUGCCCUGCCACGCGUUGCUGUGGCCAAUUGGAAUUGCAGUGAGUAGACUCGCUGCUUGUAAGCCUGGGUGCUUUCUAUAUAUGGGCCUCCUUGGUUGGACUGGUUGAAUGGGACGGAGUGCCCUGAUGGCUUCCAAAAGUGAGGGUUUUUGAUGUAGGGGAAAUCUUGGUUGGGCAGGUUGAAGAGGAGUGAAUAGUCUUGGCUGCUUGGAAGCCUGGGCGCUUUCUACUUUGUGGAAUUGUUGGUUGGGAGGUGGAAUAGUAAUGAAUAGUCUGAGUGUAGCAAGUAUGAAUGUUGCAAUUAGUUACCUUGAUUAGCAUUGAAUGGCCUUGCAGGUUCGAGGCCUGGGUGUUUCCUGGUUGAGGGAAUCCUUUUUUGGGAGUUGUUAUCUGGGUGUGAUUGUUUCCUGUCUGGAAUUGCCCUGUCGUCUGAGUGCUGUUGCUAUUGUUCUGUUUUCUUAUUUGAUCAGAGUUAAUUAUUACAUAUGAGAUAGAGUAAUGUUAUGUAUUAAUAAAUGUUAGAUAAG